AUUAAGCACUGGGAGCGCUGAGUAGUUCAGCUGAGAGAAAGAUACGAUUACAUCUUUGAUCCCUAUACCUGAUCUAGAUAAUACUAGCGUAGGAAAGUGUAUAAUAUUAAGC
This 112-nucleotide non-coding RNA is filed under the name Jeotgalibaca sp. PTS2502. RNAcentral's name for it is "TPP riboswitch aptamer (THI element)". It matches the Rfam family "TPP riboswitch aptamer (THI element)". From Rfam's summary of the family: Vitamin B(1) in its active form thiamin pyrophosphate (TPP) is an essential coenzyme that is synthesised by coupling of pyrimidine and thiazole moieties in bacteria. The previously detected thiamin-regulatory element, thi box was extended, resulting in a new, highly conserved RNA secondary structure, the THI element, which is widely distributed in eubacteria and also occurs in some archaea. Lineage: Bacteria; Bacillati; Bacillota; Bacilli; Lactobacillales; Carnobacteriaceae. RNAcentral also lists the same sequence under 1 other name. The record is from Rfam by way of RNAcentral.